GACGAACGCUGGCGGCGUGCUUAACACAUGCAAGUCGAACGGAAAGGCCCUGCUUUUGUGGGGUGCUCGAGUGGCGAACGGGUGAGUAACACGUGAGUAACCUGCCCUUGACUUUGGGAUAACUUCAGGAAACUGGGGCUAAUACCGGAUAGGAGCUCCUGCUGCAUGGUGGGGGUUGGAAAGUUUCGGCGGUUGGGGAUGGACUCGCGGCUUAUCAGCUUGUUGGUGGGGUAGUUGCUUACCAAGGCUUUGACGGGUAGCCGGCCUGAGAGGGUGACCGGCAACAUUGGGACUGAGAUACGGACCAGACUCCAACGGGAGGCAGCAGUGGGGAAUAUUGCACAAUGGGAGGAAGCCUGAUGCAGCAACGCCGCGUGCGGGAUGACGGCCUUCGGGUUGUAAACCGCUUUCGCCUGUGACGAAGCGUGAGUGACGGUAAUGGGUAAAGAAGCACCGGCUAACUACGUG
This 468-nucleotide ribosomal RNA is filed under the name uncultured bacterium. RNAcentral describes it as "partial 16S ribosomal RNA". It matches the Rfam family "Bacterial small subunit ribosomal RNA", at positions 28 to 507 of the family's 1533-position model. The record is from RNAcentral.